GAUGAACGCUGGCGGCGUGCUUAACACAUGCAAGUCGAACGAUGAAGCCCAGCUUGCUGGGUGGAUUAGUGGCGAACGGGUGAGUAACACGUGAGUAACCUGCCCUUAACUCUGGGAUAAGCCUGGGAAACUGGGUCUAAUACCGGAUAGGAGCGUCCACCGCAUGGUGGGUGUUUGAAAGAUUUAUCGGUUUUGGAUGGACUCGCGGCCUAUCAGCUUGUUGGUGGGGUAAUGGCUCACCAAGGCGACGACGGGUAGCCGGCCUGAGAGGGUGACCGGCCACACUGGGACUGAGACACGGCCCAGACUCCUACGGGAGGCAGCAGUGGGGAAUAUUGCACAAUGGGCGCAAGCCUGAUGCAGCGACGCCGCGUGAGGGAUGACGGCCUUCGGGUUGUAAACCUCUUUCAGUAGGGAAGAAGCGAAAGUGACGGUACCUGCAGAAGAAGCACCGGCUAACUACGUG
Molecule: ribosomal RNA, 466 nt
Filed under: uncultured bacterium
Lineage: Bacteria
Description: partial 16S ribosomal RNA
Rfam family: Bacterial small subunit ribosomal RNA
Source: RNAcentral